RNAcentral lists this long non-coding RNA (1294 nucleotides) under Fukomys damarensis (Damara mole-rat). RNAcentral's name for it is "lncRNA (ENSFDAG00000030585.1)". The record is from RNAcentral. Lineage: Eukaryota; Metazoa; Chordata; Mammalia; Rodentia; Bathyergidae.
CCCCCAGCCUCUGCACAGAGCCAAUACCCAAGUCUCCUCCUUAAUCAUUCUUUCCCUCGCCUCUGUCCUACCUGCUCCCCUCCCAGGUGUACCUACAGUACUCCUUCCUAGGUGCACUAACAACGAUUCUGUCAUUCUAUGCCAGAGCAGGCACUGCUCAUUUUAGUUAUGACGAUCAUCUGGGAUAAAAGGUCAGCGUUUUAAAGAGGAGGAAACUUCAGGCAGAGAGGAUGAUAAUAAUCACCACCAACGGUCAGGGAAGGUGUAGACAGCAGUAACAGAAGUUUGUCUUGAGUUAUAUAGGACCGGGAAUGGCCGCGAACUGACAGAAGCAGUUCUUGAUUGAAUAUUUGGUUUUUUGGUAUCUCCCAAAAUGCAUAGUUUUCCCAUUCAGUUCACCAUUUAACCGUGUGUGUUGUUAAUACAAGAGAUUAGAUUGAUAACUCUGAGCUCUGGAAAAUUAACGAAGGCUUCUAUCUUCAUAUAGGGCUUUCUGAAGGCGGCCCGAUUUCCUCAGGAGCCAGACUGCAAGAUUGCUGGUUCUGCUAGGAGUAUCACGUGUCAGUUUCUUCUCAUAUCCAAGUCGGCAUGCAGGAGUUUUUUACAUGGAUUUGACUAUUUUUGAGAUUUGAGAAUAGAAACAUCACUAUAUGCCUAACCACAGCUUCUGAGCCCCUCCCUAAAACUUUGAAGUAAGCGCACUAAAAAGAUUAAAGCACGGUAAGAUGCGAGUUCCUUCCAUCCGUCAUUCAGUCAACCAUUAUCGCGCUACCGUGCAAGCCACUGCGCGGGGCUCCAUGGGAGACGACAGGGUGAGGUCACAGAGGAGCCUCCAAGGGGCCGGUCUACACGACAAGCGCGGGUAAAUGCCUACAGCACAAAGUGUAACACGCCAUAAGAAAGGUACAGAUAAAGCACUCUGGAUUCAGAGGCAGAAGAGACCAACUUCAACUAAGGGACUCACUGACACGACUGUCACAUGGUGCUUAAUGACCAAAGGACCAUUCUGCUGGUCAUAAUGCUAAACAUACAACUCAAGGAACUGCGCUGUAUUUUACAUUACCAUUGUCCUCAUGAUGGAAAAUGAAGUGAGUAGAGGAGAAGUUAAGGUUGCAGGGUGCCGACUAACUCUCAGAAAGACAAGAAGAGGUACAACUGCUCUGUUAAUAGUAGUAUUCAAGAAGAGAUGUUUGUGAAUAACUUAGUUACUUCCCUUAUAUUUUAAUAAGCUCUCACCUUAGUUACAAUGCAGAAAGAAUUGCUAUAAAUUCAGCUAUAAUUCCUUUUUUAUAAC